This 392-nucleotide ribosomal RNA is filed under the name uncultured bacterium. RNAcentral's name for it is "bacterial SSU rRNA". It matches the Rfam family "Bacterial small subunit ribosomal RNA", at positions 29 to 417 of the family's 1533-position model. The record is from RNAcentral.
AUUGAACGCUGGCGGCAUGCCUAACACAUGCAAGUCGAACGGCAGCACGGCAGUAGCAAUACUGUGGGUGGCGAGUGGCGGACGGGUGAGGAAUACGUCGGAAUCUGCCCAGUCGUGGGGGAUAACUAGCCGAAAGGUUAGCUAAUACCGCAUACGACCGAGAGGUGAAAGCGGGGGACCGCAAGGCCUCGCGCGAUUGGAUGAGCCGACGUCGGAUUAGCUAGUUGGAGGGUAAAGGCCCACCAAGGCGACGAUCCGUAGCUGGUCUGAGAGGAUGAUCAGCCACACUGGAACUGAGACACGGUCCAGACUCCUACGGGAGGCAGCAGUGGGGAAUAUUGGACAAUGGGCGCAAGCCUGAUCCAGCAAUGCCGCGUGUGUGAAGAAGGCCU